RNAcentral lists this transfer RNA (74 nucleotides) under bacterium. RNAcentral's name for it is "tRNA-Val". It matches the Rfam family "tRNA". From Rfam's summary of the family: Transfer RNA (tRNA) molecules are approximately 80 nucleotides in length. Their secondary structure includes four short double-helical elements and three loops (D, anti-codon, and T loops). The record is from RNAcentral.
GGGCGGUUAGCUCAGCUGGUUAGAGUACUUGCUUGACAUGCAAGGGGUCACUGGUUCAAUUCCAGUACCGCCCA